GUUGACCUCGGAUCAGGUAGGAAUACCCGCUGAACUUAAGCAUAUCAAUAAGCGGAGGAAAAGAAACCAACAGGGAUGCCUUAGUAACGGCGAGGAA
This 97-nucleotide ribosomal RNA is filed under the name Plectosphaerella cucumerina. Its description in RNAcentral is "partial 28S large subunit ribosomal RNA". It matches the Rfam family "Eukaryotic large subunit ribosomal RNA", at positions 1 to 96 of the family's 3401-position model. The record is from RNAcentral. Lineage: Eukaryota; Fungi; Ascomycota; Sordariomycetes; Glomerellales; Plectosphaerellaceae.